This 489-nucleotide ribosomal RNA is filed under the name uncultured bacterium. Its description in RNAcentral is "bacterial SSU rRNA". It matches the Rfam family "Bacterial small subunit ribosomal RNA", at positions 29 to 507 of the family's 1533-position model. The record is from RNAcentral.
AUGAACGCUAGCUACAGGCUUAACACAUGCAAGUCGAGGGGCAGCAUGGUCUUAGCUUGCUAAGGCCGAUGGCGACCGGCGCACGGGUGAGUAACGCGUAUCCAACCUUCCGUACACUCAGGGAUAGCCUUUCGAAAGAAAGAUUAAUACCUGAUGGUAUGAUGAGAUUGCAUGAUAGCAUCAUUAAAGAUUUAUCGGUGUACGAUGGGGAUGCGUUCCAUUAGGUAGUAGGCGGGGUAACGGCCCACCUAGCCGACGAUGGAUAGGGGUUCUGAGAGGAAGGUCCCCCACAUUGGAACUGAGACACGGUCCAAACUCCUACGGGAGGCAGCAGUGAGGAAUAUUGGUCAAUGGACGCGAGUCUGAACCAGCCAAGUAGCGUGAAGGAUGACUGCCCUAUGGGUUGUAAACUGCUUUUAUAAGGGAAUAAAGUGGGAGUCGUGACUCUUUUUGCAUGUACCUUAUGAAUAAGGACCGGCUAAUUCCGUG